This 70-nucleotide transfer RNA is filed under the name Anolis opalinus. RNAcentral describes it as "tRNA-Ala". Lineage: Eukaryota; Metazoa; Chordata; Lepidosauria; Squamata; Anolidae. The record is from RNAcentral.
AAAGGCUUUAGCUUAAUAAAAGUACUUGAGUUGCAUUCAUGAGAUAUGGAAUAAUAGUCCAUAAGUCUUA